UAGGGAAUCUUCCACAAUGGGCGAAAGCCUGAUGGAGCAACGCCGCGUGUGUGAUGAAGGGUUUCGGCUCGUAAAACUCUGUUGUUAGAGAAGAACACGAGUGAGAGUAACUGUUCAUUCGAUGACGGUAUCUAACCAGCAAGUCACGGCUAACUACGUGCCAA
This 164-nucleotide ribosomal RNA is filed under the name uncultured bacterium. RNAcentral describes it as "partial 16S rRNA". It matches the Rfam family "Bacterial small subunit ribosomal RNA", at positions 355 to 511 of the family's 1533-position model. The record is from RNAcentral.